This 735-nucleotide ribosomal RNA is filed under the name uncultured Fusobacterium sp. RNAcentral's name for it is "bacterial SSU rRNA". It matches the Rfam family "Bacterial small subunit ribosomal RNA", at positions 28 to 776 of the family's 1533-position model. The record is from RNAcentral. Lineage: Bacteria; Fusobacteriati; Fusobacteriota; Fusobacteriia; Fusobacteriales; Fusobacteriaceae.
GAUGAACGCUGACAGAAUGCUUAACACAUGCAAGUCAACUUGAAUUUGGGUUUUUAACUUAGGUUUGGGUGGCGGACGGGUGAGUAACGCGUAAAGAACUUGCCUCACAGCUAGGGACAACAUUUGGAAACGAAUGCUAAUACCUAAUAUUAUGAUAAUAGGGCAUCCUAUAAUUAUGAAAGCUAUAAGCGCUGUGAGAGAGCUUUGCAUCCCAUUAGCUAGUUGGAGAGGUAACGGCUCACCAAGGCGAUGAUGGGUAGCCGGCCUGAGAGGGUGAUCGGCCACAAGGGGACUGAGACACGGCCCUUACUCCUACGGGAGGCAGCAGUGGGGAAUAUUGGACAAUGGACCAAGAGUCUGAUCCAGCAAUUCUGUGUGCACGAUGAAGUUUUUCGGAAUGUAAAGUGCUUUCAGUUGGGAAGAAAAAAAUGACGGUACCAACAGAAGAAGUGACGGCUAAAUACGUGCCAGCAGCCGCGGUAAUACGUAUGUCACGAGCGUUAUCCGGAUUUAUUGGGCGUAAAGCGCGUCUAGGUGGUUAUAUAAGUCUGAUGUGAAAAUGCAGGGCUCAACUCUGUAUUGCGUUGGAAACUGUAUAACUAGAGUACUGGAGAGGUAAGCGGAACUACAAGUGUAGAGGUGAAAUUCGUAGAUAUUUGUAGGAAUGCCGAUGGGGAAGCCAGCUUACUGGACAGAUACUGACGCUGAAGCGCGAAAGCGUGGGUAGCAAACAGG